RNAcentral lists this transfer RNA (74 nucleotides) under Ruminococcus sp. RNAcentral describes it as "tRNA-Gly". It matches the Rfam family "tRNA". From Rfam's summary of the family: Transfer RNA (tRNA) molecules are approximately 80 nucleotides in length. Their secondary structure includes four short double-helical elements and three loops (D, anti-codon, and T loops). Further hydrogen bonds mediate the characteristic L-shaped molecular structure. tRNAs have two regions of fundamental functional importance: the anti-codon, which is responsible for specific mRNA codon recognition, and the 3' end, to which the tRNAs corresponding amino acid is attached (by aminoacyl-tRNA synthetases). tRNAs cope with the degeneracy of the genetic code in two manners: having more than one tRNA (with a specific anti-codon) for a particular amino acid; and 'wobble' base-pairing, i.e. permitting non-standard base-pairing at the 3rd anti-codon position. Lineage: Bacteria; Bacillati; Bacillota; Clostridia; Eubacteriales; Oscillospiraceae. RNAcentral also lists the same sequence under 1 other name. The record is from RNAcentral.
GCGAGUGUAGUUCAAUGGUAGAAUUCCAGCCUUCCAAGCUGGUUACGUGGGUUCGAUUCCCAUCACUCGCUCCA